UAUAUAUAAUGUAAUUAUUUUUAUAUUAAAAAGUUCAGAAAUUUUUUAAUGAGCAAUCUUGAAAUAUGGACCGUUAUUGAUUAUGGAAAAAAUAAGUGGAAUGCUUAUCAUAUUUAUAUUUCAUGUUUAUAUCCCGUUCAGAAAUUUAGCAUGCAUAUUAAUCAGCACAUUAUAUCGUAUUAUUCAGCACGCACUUUUUAUAUACGUAUUCAUUAAAUGAAUUACAUUAGCAAAUAACAAAGAUAGAAUGCGUAUUAUACAGCCAGGAAGAGUGGUACCAUUUAAUGUGGUGAUGGAAAAUAUGAUAGGACUUACGGCUCAAGCUCAAAAUGAGCUUCGCGUUGCGCGGCGAGAACUGCGAAAAUAUAAAUCCCUGAAGCUUACUUCGGAACAACAGAAGUACCUGGAGAAUUUCGACAAAGCUACCGUGGUAAUUAAUGAAGAAGAAAUGAAGAUCCAAGCUAUAAUAAGACCGCUCUCUCAGGAAGGAUCGUUUAAUGCAAAUAAGAUUGCUGCUUCACAACAUUCCGACACGUAUCUAUCGAUGUAUUUUUGCCCUGAUAGGAGAUUUCGAUACGGUAGAGGAAUCCAUAAUUUUUUGCUAACUAAUUCGUACGUUUCGAGAGAGAAUCUGAACACAAAACCAUUAUCGGAAAAUAAUACUUACCUGAUAUCGCGCGUAACAUCUUGCGAUAUAUUAACCGAAGCGAGAGCCGCGCGAGGUAAAAAAAUUUAAUUUCCAACAUAAAAGUUAUUUUACAAAGAAUUUUCACUGGUCAAAAAUUAAAAUGAAAUGUCAAACUAAUUCUUUUUACGAAACAAUUUUCUUCGGUCAGUUUUAAAAAGAUGUUCAAGUAUAAUUUAUAUUGCAUUUUGAGCUAUAGUAAAUUCUGCAGAGGACGGCAAUCAAACGAGUGCUUGUAUCGAGUACGUGGACGCAUCUCAUCAAGUGAUGCAAGAUGUUUGUGAAGUGGGUGUGCAAACAGACAAGUAUAAAAAUGAUACCUACGAUGAACAAUCUGCCGACUCGUCGUCUAGUCAGUACUGUGAAAGUAGCGAAAGUGCAUCUACGUCUGAAAGCGAGUUAAGGAUGAACUUGGAUUCCGAAGUCUGUGAAAAAAAUCACAAGGGCGUAAUUAUUCAAAAAGAUUCGGAAAUUAUCGUUUUGAAGAACGAACUCGGUGUACGAAAUAAUAAUUGAAUGGAAUUUUUAUCGAAACGAAAUUUGCAUGUAACAAAUAUAUUUACACACAGCGAAUGUUACUUUUUCAUCUUCAUUAUUUAGAUGAAGGAAGAUGAGCUAGAAGAGCUACGAGAAUUGAAUAAGCAUUUACAAACAUUGUUAAAAGGAGAAAAUGAGAAUGCAAAUAUUUUAAGACAUAAUCUUAAUGUAAAUCGGUAUUUAUUAUUAACUGCGUUAAUUAAAAAUUCGUGUAAUUAUUUAAAUUUCAUAUCGUAGAUCUUGCAAGAAAAGCUGAAAAUAGUAAGCGAUACCCGCAAUAUCGAGGUGGAAAAUUUAAAUACAAAACUUUCUUCUUCGGAGUGUCUGGUGGAUCAGUUGAAGACAGAAUUAAGUAGAAAAUGUCAAGUUUGUUAUUUCCAAUCGCAAGAAAUAGAAAAACUUAGGCAGGAGGUUAAAGAUACAGAAUUAAUUUCCGUAGAAAACGAAUCUCUUACGGUUAGUACACGAGAUAUAAUAUAUCACGUAAUAUAAUCGCUUAGAGAAAUUGAAUUUGACUUGAGUUUAAUUAAUUGCAUAUAAUGCGCGUGAUGAAACUGUGAUAAAUUAGCGGAAGGUGAAAGAGAUGGAGCAUUUAUCGAAAGAGGCGGAAAGCUGCGGUAUUGCUUUAGAGCAGGUGAAAAAUGUCUGGCGGGAGCGGGAUAUACUUCAAGAGCAAUAUUGUGAACAAAGUUGCACGUUGGCGGAUAGAGAAGACGAAAUAAAACGACUAUUGAUGUUGAUAAAGCAAAUGUCUGUUACGGCCGACACUCGUGAGGUGCGUCAUUUGGUCUAAUCAUGUCAUAUUCUCACAAUUUUAAUGUCAAUUCAAUUAGUAACA
Molecule: non-coding RNA, 2060 nt
Organism: Nylanderia fulva
Lineage: Eukaryota; Metazoa; Arthropoda; Insecta; Hymenoptera; Formicidae
Source: RefSeq, a predicted model, not a curated record